Molecule: ribosomal RNA, 253 nt
Filed under: uncultured bacterium
Lineage: Bacteria
Description: partial 16S ribosomal RNA
Rfam family: Bacterial small subunit ribosomal RNA
Source: RNAcentral
UACGAAGGGGGCUAGCGUUGUUCGGAAUCACUGGGCGUAAAGGGCGCGUAGGCGGCUUUAUAAGUCGGGGGUGAAAGCCUGUGGCUCAACCACAGAAUUGCCUUCGAUACUGUAGAGCUUGAGACCGGAAGAGGUAAGUGGAACUGCGAGUGUAGAGGUGAAAUUCGUAGAUAUUCGCAAGAACACCAGUGGCGAAGGCGGCUUACUGGUCCGGUUCUGACGCUGAGGCGCGAAAGCUAGGGGAGCGAACAGG